GACGAACGCUGGCGGCGUGCUUAACACAUGCAAGUCGAACGGAAAGGCCCUGCUUUUGUGGGGUGCUCGAGUGGCGAACGGGUGAGUAACACGUGAGUAACCUGCCCUUGACUUUGGGAUAACUUCAGGAAACUGGGGCUAAUACCGGAUAGGAGCUCCUGCUGCAGGGUGGGGGUUGGAAAGUUUCGGCGGUUGGGGAUGGACUCGCGGCUGAUCGGCUUGUUGGUGGGGUAGUGGCUUACCAAGGCUUUGACGGGUAGCCGGCAUGAGAGGGUGACCGGCCACAAUGGGACUAAGAGACGGCCCAGACGCCUACGGGAGGCAGCAGUGGGGAAUAUUGCCCAGUGGGCGGAAGUCUGAUGAAGCGACGCCGCGUGCGGAAUGACGGCCUUCGGGUUGUGAACCGCUUUCGCCUGUGACGAAGCGUGAGUGACGGUAAUGGGUGAAGAAGCACCGGCUAACUACGUG
RNAcentral lists this ribosomal RNA (468 nucleotides) under uncultured bacterium. Its description in RNAcentral is "partial 16S ribosomal RNA". It matches the Rfam family "Bacterial small subunit ribosomal RNA", at positions 28 to 507 of the family's 1533-position model. The record is from RNAcentral.